Molecule: ribosomal RNA, 106 nt
Filed under: Planctomycetota bacterium
Lineage: Bacteria; Pseudomonadati; Planctomycetota
Source: RNAcentral
UGCGGUAACGAUACGUGCAGGGAUACACCCGUUCCCAUUCCGCACACGGAAGUUAAGCCUGCACGGCCGAUGGUAGUCGAAAGGCGAGAGUAGGUGAUCGCCGCAC